This is a long non-coding RNA of Parasteatoda tepidariorum (common house spider), 1327 nucleotides long. The record is from RefSeq and is a predicted model, not a curated record. NCBI's taxonomy places the organism in Eukaryota, Metazoa, Arthropoda, Arachnida, Araneae, Theridiidae.
UAUAUUAUUUUUAUUUUACUGUCUUGUCUUGUUUAAUUAGUACCCUUUUAAAAUAAAAAAGGAAGUAAGAUGUGAAAUAAAAAAAGUUUGAAAAGAUAGCUAUCUUAUAUCAUAGGUCACAGUUUCCUAAAGCCUAACCACAAGCAUACAUAAAAUUACUUAAGCAAUUUACUUUGGUUUAUCACAAAAUUUAUAUGGUAAUAAUGCAAUUCUCUAAAUGAAUGUAAGAAAAGAUAUGAAAUUCUAAGAAUAUUCUUUAAUCCAAGGCACUGAUAACUAAUUUGCUUUGAAAUUCUUAGAUCCUGAGUACAUAAAAUUCUUGUUUUUGCAUUCCAGCAAAGAAAUCCUGGAAAACAGAGUUCUUUCAUUUACUAAAUUACUUUAUUGAUUUUCAUUUCCCCCCAAUUUUAUCACUUGAAAUCAUUUGUCUUUGUUGUUCAAACAUCAGCUUAUGUAGAGGCUAUUAAAAAUGUAGUAGUGUAGAAAAUAAUGUGUUUUAUAUGGAAGAGACAGACAUGAUUGAUAUCAAUAAUUUUGUGUUAUCACAAGAAAUAUAGAAAUUGAAAAAGCUAGAAUUCUACUAAUGGAAGAAAGAAAAUCCAUUUUUUUGUUGAAAAGAUGAAAAAGAAGAAAAAUAGUUUCAUUUAAAUAUUUUUGAUGUUAUAGUGCAUAUUUCAUUAUCUUUUGCUUGUUAUAAUCACAUAAUAUUGCCUCAUUGACAGUGCCUUGCAAAUCAUUUUCAAAGCAAGGUUCUUUAAUAUAACAUACUCAUAAAAUCAAGUUUUUGAUUUAUAGUACUUACACAUAUUUAUUGAAUAAACUUGCAAAUAUUUUUCAUAUUUCAAGAGUUCAAAAAACAACAAAAAUGUUUAUUAUCCAGACUUUCUGUAUGAUUCAAUGUUCAAAAGCUAAUAUUAAUCAAUUAAGUGAUCUCCCAUCUGAACUCUGAAAAUUGCAAUUUACUAAAUAAAACCAUUAAAAUAAAAAUUAUUGCAAUGAUUUUUUUUGUUUUCCUCCUUCUACUAAUUACUUAUAACAAGACUGUACUUUUCAACGUUUUGGUUGUAUUUGCUGUUAAUACAAUUUUUAAAAUUCUUUACAAUAUCAAGAAUUUGAUGUCAUUUAAAAAGCUUUUUCAUUUGAGAAAACGUUUUGUAGCUUUUAUAUUUCUUAGGCAUAUUUCAUUAGUAAUUCUGUUCUUUAGGUAUUGUAAAUUCUUUAUUGAAAGAAGAUGUGAACUAUUUGUUUGGAAAUUCAUUUUUAUAAUAACUAACUGUGAUACUGUUUCAUGUUAUCUUUUUAUUCAAUAAAGUAUGAAUUCUCCUGA